GUCGAACGGCAGCGCGGGAGCAAUCCUGGCGGCGAGUGGCGAACGGGUGAGUAAUGUAUCGGAACGUAUCCUGUAAUGGGGGAUAACCAGUCGAAAGAUUGGGUAAUACCGCAUACGCACGAGAGUGGAAAGUGGAGGAUCGCAAGACUUCACGUUAUAGGAGCGGCCGAUAUCUGAUUAGCUAGUUGGUGGGGUAAAGGCCUACCAAGGCGACGAUCAGUAGCUGGUCUGAGAGGACGACCAGCCACACUGGGACUGAGACACGGCCCAGACUCCUACGGGAGGCAGCAGUGGGGAAUUUUGGACAAUGGGCGAAAGCCUGAUCCAGCCAUGCCGCGUGCAGGAAGAAGGCCUUCGGGUUGUAAACUGCUUUAGUCUAGGAAAAAGGGAUGCCUGGUUAAUACCUGGGUGUUUUGAUGGUACUGGAAGAAUAAGCACCGGCUAACUACGUGCCAGCAGCCGCGGUAAUACGUAGGGUGCGAGCGUUAAUCGGAAUUACUGGGCGUAAAGCGUGCGCAGGCGGUCUUGUAAGACAGUCGUGAAAUCCCUGGGCUCAACCUGGGAAUUGCAUCUGUGACUGUAUAGCUAGAGUACGGUAGAGGGGGAUGGAAUUCCGCGUGUAGCAGUGAAAUGCGUAGAUAUGCGGAGGAACACCGAUGGCGAA
This 664-nucleotide ribosomal RNA is filed under the name uncultured bacterium. RNAcentral describes it as "bacterial SSU rRNA". It matches the Rfam family "Bacterial small subunit ribosomal RNA", at positions 61 to 719 of the family's 1533-position model. The record is from RNAcentral.